UUGAACGCUGGCGGCAUGCCUUACACAUGGCAAGUCGAACGGCAGCACGGGAGCAAUCCUGGUGGCGAGUGGCGAACGGGUGAGUAAUAUAUCGGAACGUGCCCAGUCGUGGGGGAUAACGUAGCGAAAGCUACGCUAAUACCGCAUACGAUCUAUGGAUGAAAGCGGGGAUCGCAAGACCUCGCGCGAUUGGAGCGGCCGAUAUCAGAUUAGGUAGUUGGUGAGGUAAAGGCUCACCAAGCCGACGAUCUGUAGCUGGUCUGAGAGGACGACCAGCCACACUGGGACUGAGACACGGGCCCCAGACUCCUACGGGAGGCAGCAGUGGGGAAUUUUGGACAAUGGGCGCAAGCCUGAUCCAGCAAUGCCGCGUGCAGGAUGAAGGCCUUCGGGUUGUAAACUGCUUUGUACGGAACGAAACGGUGAGCUCUAAUACAGUUUGCUAAUGACGGUACCGUAAGAAUAAGCACCGGCUAACUACGUG
This 484-nucleotide ribosomal RNA is filed under the name uncultured bacterium. RNAcentral describes it as "bacterial SSU rRNA". It matches the Rfam family "Bacterial small subunit ribosomal RNA", at positions 30 to 507 of the family's 1533-position model. The record is from RNAcentral.